AAGUGGAUGGGGGAUCUAUGGAUUUAUGGAUGUUGGUCCAUCUCAGGUCGUGAGCUCAGGAUCAGAAACCCAUGUGAGCAGGAGACACAAGGAGUGGUCAACGUCAGAAGAAUAGAGAAAAACAACUCAAAGACAUGCAGCAUGCACUUUAGGAUUGCAACUCAAGAAUAGACAGAACAGAGUGAAGUUGGACAGAAAAUUCAUGGUGCAGAUGACUGGAAGCUCUAGUCACGUUGUACAGUGAAAGAAGGCCUCCUGUCAAAUAAUUAUACGGGGUCUGAUUUUGGAAAUGUGUUUUGUCUCUCGCUUCUCCCAGUCAUAGAAAGCUCAUUGAUCUGAAACAUCGCCUGCUUCAUUCUUUCCAGAGGAAUGAUUGAUUUUCGAAGAAACUUCCAACAACAUGUGGAAAAGACUGCAUGAAUCUCAUGAAGCCCCCUUAUACUGGAUGUCUCUGGAAAACCGGCUCGUUGUCCCUCACUAAUAGCCACUGGAUUCUGAAGCGAUAAACCCACCUUUCUCCAGCCUCAUACAUCUACGGUGUAUAUGACUUUGGUCCUGCCAAAUCUGUGUGAAUCUGUGUUUCUGUGAAUGCUAUGUGAUUUACAGUCCCCAGCAAGAAAUAACAGACCGGACACUGCAUACAAUUAAAAAGAAGUAUAUUUAAGAAUGUUAAUUUAAACAAAGUGUUAUUAAAUGAAAGAAAGAAAAGAACUAAAAGGGCCCAUUAUUCUUAAACAGUCAAGUGUGUACUUAAUUUGGAGCUCAUCUUGAACUUGU
Molecule: long non-coding RNA, 777 nt
Organism: Mobula hypostoma (lesser devil ray)
Lineage: Eukaryota; Metazoa; Chordata; Chondrichthyes; Myliobatiformes; Myliobatidae
Exons: 3
Source: RefSeq, a predicted model, not a curated record